Molecule: ribosomal RNA, 474 nt
Filed under: uncultured organism
Description: partial 16S ribosomal RNA
Rfam family: Bacterial small subunit ribosomal RNA
Source: RNAcentral
UACACUCCUACGGGAGGCAGCAGUGGGGAAUAUUGCACAAUGGGCGCAAGCCUGAUGCAGCCAUGCCGCGUGUAUGAAGAAGGCCUUCGGGUUGUAAAGUACUUUCAGCGGGGAGGAAGGCGAUAAGGUUAAUAACCUUGUUGAUUGACGUUACCCGCAGAAGAAGCACCGGCUAACUCCGUGCCAGCAGCCGCGGUAAUACGGAGGGUGCAAGCGUUAAUCGGAAUUACUGGGCGUAAAGCGCACGCAGGCGGUCUGUCAAGUCGGAUGUGAAAUCCCCGGGCUCAACCUGGGAACUGCAUUCGAAACUGGCAGGCUAGAGUCUUGUAGAGGGGGGUAGAAUUCCAGGUGUAGCGGUGAAAUGCGUAGAGAUCUGGAGGAAUACCGGUGGCGAAGGCGGCCCCCUGGACAAAGACUGACGCUCAGGUGCGAAAGCGUGGGGAGCAAACAGGAUUAGAUACCCGAGUAGUCCCA